Molecule: small RNA, 131 nt
Filed under: Klebsiella pneumoniae
Lineage: Bacteria; Pseudomonadati; Pseudomonadota; Gammaproteobacteria; Enterobacterales; Enterobacteriaceae
Description: RtT sRNA
Rfam family: RtT RNA
About the family: This family represents a bacterial cis-regulatory element known as RtT RNA. The exact function of RtT is unknown although it is thought that it may be involved in changing the cellular response in relation to amino acid starvation.
Source: RNAcentral
UAUUCUGCCCCACGGGGAAGGAUGAGAAGCUUCGACCAAGGUUCGACUCGAGCGAAGCGAGAGAACGUUGCCGCAGGCAACGGCCCGAAGGCGAGGAGCGUUAGCGCCGAGUUAUCCUUCCCCCACCACUG